RNAcentral lists this ribosomal RNA (301 nucleotides) under uncultured bacterium. RNAcentral describes it as "partial 16S ribosomal RNA". It matches the Rfam family "Bacterial small subunit ribosomal RNA", at positions 509 to 809 of the family's 1533-position model. The record is from RNAcentral.
CAGUAGCCGCGGUAAUACGAAGGGUGCAAGCGUUAAUCGGAAUUACUGGGCGUAAAGCGUGCGUAGGCGGUGAGUUAAGUCUGCUGUGAAAUCCCCGGGCUCAACCUGGGAAUGGCAGUGGAUACUGGCAAGCUAGAGUGUGUCAGAGGAUGGUGGAAUUCCCGGUGUAGCGGUGAAAUGCGUAGAGAUCGGGAGGAACAUCAGUGGCGAAGGCGGCCAUCUGGGACAACACUGACGCUGAGGCACGAAAGCGUGGGGAGCAAACAGGAUUAGAGACCCCUGUAGUCCCUGUCUCUUAUAA